GUCCAGAAAUUGAGCAAAUGAGUCAUCCCACACAGAACAAUGAAUGCAAUAAAUUGGAAGAGCACCCAUUUGAAUGGAAAGUUAGAACAGCUUACGAAGUAAAGGAGCUCAAUUGGGAUGGAAAAAUAGGCUAUGGCAAUAAAUAAAUCACUGAUUCUUUGGCACUCUAAGAUACGUUCAAUGCUCCAAAAUCCUUCAUCAUCACAGUUACACCGAGGGAAACCAUUAUCAGCAGCCGAUAAGGAAACAAUGAAUGACACAAUUAACAAAGCUGAUACAAAUUUCCUUAACAUUGCAUCCAAUUUGACCAAGUGUUCAGCGCAUUUACUGGAUAGACUAUCUAUCUACUAUUUCAGCAACGAUGCCAGCUUAAUCUGCAAUUAUCGACCUGACAAAUCCAACCACAUAUGCAUGAAACUACUUGUUAUGUUCAUUUCCAGUUCAAUAACGUGACAAGAACAUGAAAACACCUUUUCUAGAGCAAAGGAAAACGAAGCGGCAUGGCAUCAAUAUAAAAUUCCAGAGAUAGAUUUAAGUGCAUGCACCAACACCCACUUGCAAUAGGCUAUCGCAAUAAAUAAAUCACUGAUUCUUUGGCACUCUAAGAUACGUUCAAUGCUCCAAAAUCCUUCAUCAUCACAGUUACAACGAGGGAAACCAUUAUCAGCAGCCGAUAAGGAAACAAGGAAUGACAAAAUUAACAAAGCUGAUGCUAAUGUCCUUAACAUUGCAUCCAAUUUGACCAAGUCUUCAGCUCAUUUACUAGAUAGACUGUAUAUCUACUAUUUCAGCAACGAUGCCAGCUUAAUCUGCAAUUAUAGACCUGACAAAUCCAACCACAUAAGCAUGAAACAACUUGUUAUGUUCAUUUCCAGUUCAAUAACGUGACAAGAACAUGAAAACACCUUUUCUAGAGCAAAGGAAAACGAAGCGGCAUGGCAUCUAUAUAAAAUUCAGAGAUAGAUUCAAGUGCAUGCACCAACACCCACUUGCAAUAACAUAUGUUGCUUAAUUUCCAAAGAGCACAGUUUCAAAAACAAACUAGUCCUACAAUUUAAAAGGAAAUUUUCUAGCAGAAUUGUUACUUCAACAUAAAUAGUGUAGUAAUUUAUUAAUGACAAGUGGUGUGUGGUCGUGCUUGUGCGCAACUCAACUAUUCCAUGGGUGCUAGAUAUUAUAUUGAUCGCAAAAUUGUUACUUUAGAAUUACUAUUAUAUCAAUCGCAAAAUAAGAUUCAGAUCAUAAGUCCACCACUAUGUCAGCCAUAAAUAUAAUCACCCAAUUACCAAAAAAAAAAAAUGAACAAG
Molecule: long non-coding RNA, 1307 nt
Filed under: Nicotiana benthamiana
Lineage: Eukaryota; Viridiplantae; Streptophyta; Magnoliopsida; Solanales; Solanaceae
Description: long non-coding RNA (NBEN_LNC027850)
Source: RNAcentral